AGCGCGCAGUUAAUUUGGUCUCACUUCACCAGGAACCGGUUUAAACACCUCCAUGAAAGUCUGGGAGAGGCUUCAAACAAAGUGCAGCCUUUUCACAAUGACUUAACUAUAGCCUCACCUGCUGGCUGAUGUCCCGCCAAAGCAUGACUGACGUAACGCGGCAAAUACCCGUAAAGGGCAGUACAGUGGCGCACUGAGUGACGUCAGUUACCGUAAAUUACACCAUUAACGCAACGUGAACUACUCAGUUUGUGGCUUCAGCUGUCAAUAUCAGUAUGAAAAUUGAUUUCUUUUCAUUCGAAAGAAAACUGAGUUACAUAAAGAAAUCUCAGAAGUAUUGUUUUCUUUUUUGAUUCACUAAAUUAAUCAACAACCUGUCUGUUUUUUCAUGUUUUUGUACCAAGCUUGACAAAGCAAAAUACAUUCAACGGUUAUAAAUCAUUGUAAAAUAAACACUGAGCAGCUGUAAUCCGAAAGGCCUAUAAUGUUGCUUCAGAUACAUUAAAAUCUACCGAUAUGGUUAAACCCAAGUCCAUUCAGAAAGCGUCCACUCACUCUGCUGAGCCAGCAUCUGAGUGUUACACUGCCACCUGCUGUAAUAAACGCAGCAUUACAACUUAGCUCAUGCGUUUUUAUUUUUGCCUUGUCACUUCACAUAUUGGAUCUGUAUGAAAAACAUUUCUCACGAGGCCCAUUACAAACAAAACGAAUCCUGCAGAUUUAAUUAAGAUACCAGACAAUAGACAGACAAACAUACUGCACUGCAGAUAUCAUCCACUUCCUGUGUGGCAACUGAACAUAUUUCUUUUAAUAUUUAUUAUUAUUAUUAUUAUUGACCUUUGUCUAAUUAAACACAGGCACUAUUACAAAAUAGGACAGUGGUUCCCAAACUUUUUGGCUUGUGACAUAUUUAAAAUGAAGCAAUCAAGAGACCCCUCAGCUGUUAUGAAAAUGUUAUGCAAAAGGGAUGUUUUUCCCCUUCAUGGAUUUGUCUGAUUUUCAGGUCAAAAAUAACCAUUUACCCCUAUCAUUAAGAAUGGUAUGCAGAAAAGUAAACAAAAUGAAUGUCCAGUUCUUCUUAGUAAUAUUCCAAGUUGAGAGCCACUGGCCUAUUGGAGCAAGUGAGCAUUACUUACUCUAUAUCCAUAUAAUGUAACAUAAUGUGAACUAUACAGGCGAUCCGAUGUGUUCAUUUCAAUCUUAAUGGAAAAAUAGACUCUCGGCACGACAUCUGGUAGCUGCGUCAAAGGGAGGUAGUUUACGGUAAAACGGCGCCCAUUACCAUGUGAUUUCACCGAUGUUUGUAAACAUGCGUCAGCCACAUGUGAUUCAGGCGAUGAGGAAAGACUCUCCGGCUGUCCGCCAAUCGGUGACCGGGGGAGUGUCAGGGGCGGGGUUCCCGUGUUGCGCUAUGGAAAAUCGUUAGGGGGAUACACUGUGAUAAACGUGCGCUCAGAGAUUGAUAACAGAGACAAUGAGGCUGAAACGGGAAUCCGGCGGAGCCACCAUUCAGGAGAGCACUGGGUCCGAGCGGCGCCGGCCGGGAAACGGAUCCGUCGGCACGAGAGGAACAGAGGCUUGGGAUAAACACCUGGAGCAAAUGCAAUUCAGCUGAUACUGGCGGACCCAAACUCGAUGCGGCAGAGAAGUGCUUUUAAGAGGCGAAAGAGGCGUGAGAAUCUCCUGAUGGAUGUGUUUACAGCAGGGGGGCCCAGCAGCACCUGUAGCCCACAUAAACCUUCAGAGAAAACGGUUGUCCAGUGGUGCCAUGGUGCAGUUCUCCAGACUGCUCGUGUUGGAGUCCAGUCUUCUGACCACCUGACCCCCUCUCACCAAGGCUGACCGUUUUCCUCUGGUGUUCAGAGUUUCCAUCAUGUCUAGCACCAUUUGAAAUCGGUUACAAUGUGGAGGGACUAUCAACAAACAUUCUGCGUCAGCUACAUGAUGAAAUUCCUCCAACUACCAGAAGAUGGCAGCCUCACACUACCAACAGCAUUCCAAUGUAAGGAGGACAAGUUAGAAGAGUCCUGGAAACAGUGAAAGACUCACUGAAUGACCCUGUUCUGGUCGGAGACCAGCAAAAGUUUGGAACAAAGCAUAACUUGACGUCAAGGACUGCUUUGGCUUAGGAAUUAGUUUUCUUCUUUUAUCAUGUUGCAGUUACUUAGCCGUGAUGUCUGCUAGUUGCACAGUUAUCUUCAAGGAAUAGUUGAUAAAAAUUGAUUAUCUGGGUAAAUGUUUUAGUAGUCCAGAGGUUGUGUUUCACAUAUAGGUGAUUGCCUAGAUUUAAAUAUGUAAAUGUACAAAAUGCUAGAUUCCACUUAAAUGAACAUGUAUUGUUAAUCGCUAUUUUAGCAUUUCCAAUAAUAAUCUCAUUUAUUAAGUCCUUAGGAAAAUGCUGAAGAAUUAUUAAGAAUUAUUUUGUGUACUAUAGCAAAUAUAAUUUUGUGUUAUACAACUGAUCUUCAAAUUCAAUAUGUUUUUGCUUUCAUUUAUUUUUGCUUCAGCUUAGUUAAUAAAUAUAUAAACAGACGGACGUUUAACAUCAACUACUGUAGGUAUGAGCUGAACCAUUUUUAAUUACAGCCUGUCAUCUCUCCAACUCCCGGGCAGAGACAAUUCUUUUGAGUUUUUGAGCUUUAAAUUAAAUUUAAUUAUAGCACAUAAUCUUUUAAUACAUGCCAGCCUGACAUUCUCAUGCUCCAUUACUUGGAGACUAGAUGGCAAAUAAGGACCAACAUUAGCUUCAAGCAUCAAGCCUGUAGCUGUCAACCCUUUUACCCUCCGCAUGUCAUACAGCUGACAUACGCAUUAAUGCAGUUGUCUUUUUGAAUAAAUUAUUGAAAAUUCUUAAUUAAAAUGUAUGAUUAACCCACACUGUCAAGGCUGUUCACCUUAACAGUGUGGGUUUAGAAGCGUGGUUCUGGAAAACGAUCAGCAGUUUUUACAGAAAAGCAUGAAUCUAAGUAGCUUUAAUACAUAAAGACUCAUUGCAGUGUUUGCAUCAAUAUUAUUAUUAUAGCAUAGUGAGAUUCUAUUUUAAUUUUGUCUCUUGUAUUUACCCUCCUGUCAACCUUAUAAUAGCAGUAUCAUAUAAUAAAUUAGGUGGAGCAUCACUGCAGUACUUGACAGUUUGUCUAAAACUAAUGCGCCUGCAAAGAUGUUAAAUUAUUUUGUUUUAUUUAAGUAAUUGUACUUUAUUCUGUAUUCUUCUGUUUAUGUGCACUUGGACAUAGAAAUACUGUUUGUCUUAAGGGAAGAGACUGGAUUGAAUGCCAAAAUAUGCUAUUUGACAACGUAAGUGUAUGUUUUCUAUAACUCUGUUAUCAUUAAACAUUAUUUUUUUAA
Acanthochromis polyacanthus (spiny chromis) is the source of this 3348-nucleotide long non-coding RNA. RefSeq lists it as uncharacterized. The record is from RefSeq and is a predicted model, not a curated record. The transcript is spliced from 3 exons. NCBI's taxonomy places the organism in Eukaryota, Metazoa, Chordata, Actinopteri, Pomacentridae.